GGGGCGUUAGCUCAGCGGUAGAGCAUCUGCCUUUUAAGCAGAGGGCCGUUGGUUCAACUCCAACACGCCUCA
Molecule: transfer RNA, 72 nt
Filed under: Candidatus Rifleibacteriota bacterium
Lineage: Bacteria; Candidatus Rifleibacteriota
Description: tRNA-Lys
Rfam family: tRNA
About the family: Transfer RNA (tRNA) molecules are approximately 80 nucleotides in length.
Source: RNAcentral